GCCGCUCUAGCUCAGCUGGUAGAGCAGCUGAUUCGUAAUCAGCAGGUCGGCAGUUCAAAUCUGCUGGGCGGCUCGA
Molecule: transfer RNA, 76 nt
Filed under: Fibrobacter succinogenes
Lineage: Bacteria; Pseudomonadati; Fibrobacterota; Fibrobacteria; Fibrobacterales; Fibrobacteraceae
Also listed under: 5 other names
Description: tRNA_Thr_CGT
Rfam family: tRNA
About the family: Transfer RNA (tRNA) molecules are approximately 80 nucleotides in length.
Source: RNAcentral